UGGUGGAGCGAUUUGUCUGGUUAAUUCCGUUAGCGAACGAGACCUCAGCCUGCUAACUAGCUAUGCGGAGGUACCCCUCCGCAGCUAUGCUUCUUAGAGGGACUAUGGCCGCUUAGGCCAAGGAAGUUUGAGGCAAUAACA
RNAcentral lists this ribosomal RNA (141 nucleotides) under uncultured eukaryote. RNAcentral's name for it is "partial 18S ribosomal RNA". It matches the Rfam family "Eukaryotic small subunit ribosomal RNA", at positions 1299 to 1458 of the family's 1831-position model. The record is from RNAcentral.